Molecule: non-coding RNA, 54 nt
Filed under: unclassified sequences
Description: 6A RNA
Rfam family: 6A RNA
About the family: Actinobacteria (1 example), Firmicutes, Fusobacteria.
Source: Rfam by way of RNAcentral
GAUAUUGUUCGUAGUGUAGCGAACAUGAUAAUCAAAAAAAAUACACGGUUAAGA